Molecule: long non-coding RNA, 1761 nt
Organism: Pseudophryne corroboree (corroboree frog)
Lineage: Eukaryota; Metazoa; Chordata; Amphibia; Anura; Myobatrachidae
Exons: 3
Source: RefSeq, a predicted model, not a curated record
AGGUGAUUGAGGUAAAAUACACCAUGUCAUGAUCCCGCAAAAGGAAAGAGCUCUUCACUCAAUAUUACCGAGGUAUGAUAACCCACUUACAGUACUACAGCUUGUUCGUGUGGCCUAACAGCAACAAAUCUGAGGGGCAGACCAGAGAAAGAAGACUUUGGCCAACAUGCAUGUUCCAGACCAGCCACUGGAUCUGCUCCCCCACCCUGCUUCCGUCAUUUGGAGAACAGCUGCUUGGUGGACAGGGAAAACAGAUUUUAUAUUAUUCAUUUAUUUUGCAGGACAAUUUCAUAUUUCCAGCGUUGUAAUAUUUCCCCAAAUGCUGAAUUUCUUCCUGUUGCCAUAUACUUUGUUAGAAAAAACAAAAAACAUGCCCCUCAUUAGGAAGGAAAACACACCCCAGGGUGUAUCGCCUCGCAGUUUAUGUACACCAUCAGGUGGUUGAAGUCUGACAUAAAAGAUUAUAAUAUGCAGCCUAUUAGAUGGGUUCCAUUAAGACCACAUGUUCUGUCACAUAUUUACGGUUCUCAGUGGAGGCACAGACUGGAAAGAACACAUUCUUAUGGAAUAUAAAUCUUCAUGUUAUUAUACCUUUAUUAUAGAGCCCCAUGUGCACUGUGAAUGCUGGCGCUACAUAAUAAUAAUCCCUUCUCCAAAGAGCUUGCCAUUUAAUAGGAUGUCAGCUGUGUGUAUGGGGGAGAUGCACUAAGCUUUGGAGAGAAAUAAAGUGGAUAGAAACAAGCUACCAACCAACCGGCUCCUAACUGUCAUUUUUCAAACACCGCCUGUAACAUGGCAGUUGGAAGCUGAUUGGCUGGUACUUUAUCUCUCUCCACUUUAACUGCCCUAUAUGACUGCAAAUUGGUGGUAUAAUUUGAGCUGAUUGCUACGCUGUAUUACCUCGACAGCAACACAGCUGUUUUGGGAAAUCACUGGCUGAAAUAUUUCUAAAGAUGACAAUUUUCUAAACGCUUAAGUGCACGAUUCCGACAAUACAUUUUAUGGUGAAGUCACAGGUGUGCUUUGCAUGUUCCAGGUAGUGAAGCGUAUUCAAAGGGCUCAUUAAUUGCCAUGGUGGCUGGUUGAAUUGUAGAAGAAACAUUGGGCCUAAUUCAGACCUGAUCGCUGUUGUGCGAAUUCGCACAGUAGCCGAUUAUUGAAUGACCGCGCAUGCAUACGGAUCGUAAUGCACAGGCGCGACUCCAAACAGCAAACACAUCCUGUGGGGUUUUUUUUAUUGCUAGGCGAACUCAGGUUGAUUGACAGGAAGCAGACCUUUGGGGGUGGUACCUGGCUGUUUUUUGGAAAGUGUCAGGAAAAAUGCAGGAGUUCCCAAGCGCUUUCAAGGUGGGUGUGUGACUUCAGCUCUGAUCCCGAUCAGCCUGUUUGUAACACACUGUAGGAGUAAGUCCUGGGCUACGCACACACUGCACAGACUGGAAAAAUCAUUCAAUGGUGAGUGAGUUGCGAACGGAUUUGCAGAUGUCCGCUGUCUGACUAAGUUUUCGCAUGGCGUACACACUCUCUAUGGGCGGCGGCUAUCUGAUUGCAGACAUCUGCAUAAACGCAGUGGACGAUCAGGUCUGAAUAAGGCCCAUUGAGAGUUGAAUGACUAGUUACGCAAUCUGUGGAAGUGCCUACUACCUGACUUUUAUGUUUUUUCGUUUUUUCAUUAAAAAAUACAUUUGUGGCCUGGAUUGUGAGGAUGAGGGGUCAAAUAUAUCAUGUUGCUGAAUUGGCGCCUAUUGUGUUAAUGGCAAC